RNAcentral lists this ribosomal RNA (792 nucleotides) under uncultured archaeon. Its description in RNAcentral is "bacterial SSU rRNA". It matches the Rfam family "Archaeal small subunit ribosomal RNA", at positions 23 to 806 of the family's 1478-position model. The record is from RNAcentral.
GCUACUGCCAUCAGAGUUCGAUUUAGCCAUGUUAGUCGAGGGUGCUUCUUCUUCGGAAGAAGUAACCCGGCGGACGGCUCAGUAACACGUGGAUAACUUGCCCUUGGGUCUGGGAUAACCCCUGAGAAAUUGGGGACAAUACCAGAUAGGGCAUCGAUAGCUGGAAUGCGCGAUGUCCAAAAGCUGAGGCGCCCAAGGAUAGGUCUGCGGCCGAUUAGGUUGUUGUUGAUGUAAUGGAUCAACAAGCCUGCAAUCGGUACGGGUUGUGAGAGCAAGAGCCCGGAGAUGGGUUCUGAGAAAAGAACCCAGGUCCUACGGGACGCAUCAGGCGCGAAAACUUUACAAUGUGCGAAAGCACGAUAAGGGAACUCUGAGUGCCUCCUAUGGAGGCUGUUCAGGUGUCUAAAAAGCACUUGAAGUAAGGGCUGGGUAAGACCGGUGCCAGCCGCCGCGGUAACACCGGCAGCCCAAGUGGUAGCCACGAUUAUUGGGUCCAAAGCGUCCGUAGCCGGCCAGGUAAGUUCUCUGGGAAAUUUAACCGCUCAACGGUUAAGCUUUCAGGGAAUACUGCUUGGCUUGGGACCGGGAGAGGUCAGAGGUACUUCAAGGGUAGGGGUGAAAUCCGUUAAUCCUUGAGGGACCACCAGUAGCGAAGGCGUCUGACCAGACCGGGUCCGACGGUGAGGGACGAAGGCUAGGGUCGCGAACCGGAUUAGAUACCCGGGUAGUCCUAGCUGUAAACGAUGCGGGCCAGGUUGUUGGGCAUUACUGCGAGUGAUGUCAGUGCCGAAG